RNAcentral lists this ribosomal RNA (2877 nucleotides) under Burkholderia pseudomallei. Its description in RNAcentral is "bacterial LSU rRNA". It matches the Rfam family "Bacterial large subunit ribosomal RNA". Lineage: Bacteria; Pseudomonadati; Pseudomonadota; Betaproteobacteria; Burkholderiales; Burkholderiaceae. The record is from RNAcentral. RNAcentral also lists the same sequence under 1 other name.
CAAGCGAACAAGUGCAUGUGGUGGAUGCCUUGGCGAUCACAGGCGAUGAAGGACGCGGUAGCCUGCGAAAAGCUACGGGGAGCUGGCAAACGAGCUUUGAUCCGUAGAUGUCCGAAUGGGGAAACCCGGCCCUUUUGGGUCAUCCUAGACUGAAUACAUAGGUCUAGUGAAGCGAACGCGGUGAACUGAAACAUCUAAGUAACCGCAGGAAAAGAAAUCAACCGAGAUUCCCAAAGUAGUGGCGAGCGAAAUGGGAAGAGCCUGUACUCUUUAUUUGUAUUGUUAGCCGAACGCUCUGGAAAGUGCGGCCAUAGCAGGUGAUAGCCCUGUAGGCGAAAACAGUAUGAAAGAACUAGGUGUACGACAAGUAGGGCGGGACACGUGAAAUCCUGUCUGAAGAUGGGGGGACCAUCCUCCAAGGCUAAAUACUCGUGAUCGACCGAUAGUGAACCAGUACCGUGAGGGAAAGGCGAAAAGAACCCCGGGAGGGGAGUGAAAUAGAUCCUGAAACCGCAUGCAUACAAACAGUCGGAGCCUCGCAAGGGGUGACGGCGUACCUUUUGUAUAAUGGGUCAGCGACUUACGUUCAGUAGCAAGCUUAACCGAAUAGGGCAGGCGUAGCGAAAGCGAGUCCGAAUAGGGCGUUCAGUUGCUGGGCGUAGACCCGAAACCAGGUGAUCUAUCCAUGGCCAGGAUGAAGGUGCGGUAACACGUACUGGAGGUCCGAACCCACUAACGUUGAAAAGUUAGGGGAUGAGCUGUGGAUAGGGGUGAAAGGCUAAACAAACCUGGAAAUAGCUGGUUCUCUCCGAAAACUAUUUAGGUAGUGCCUCGUGUCUCACCUUCGGGGGUAGAGCACUGUCAUGGUUGGGGGGUCUAUUGCAGAUUACCCCGCCAUAGCAAACUCCGAAUACCGAAGAGUGCAAUCACGGGAGACAGACAUCGGGUGCUAACGUCCGGUGUCAAGAGGGAAACAACCCAGACCGCCAGCUAAGGUCCCCAAAUAUGGCUAAGUGGGAAACGAAGUGGGAAGGCUAAAACAGUCAGGAGGUUGGCUUAGAAGCAGCCACCCUUUAAAGAAAGCGUAAUAGCUCACUGAUCGAGUCGUCCUGCGCGGAAGAUGUAACGGGGCUAAGCCAUAUACCGAAGCUGCGGAUGCGAGCUAGUCUCGCAUGGUAGGAGAGCGUUCCGUAAGCCUGCGAAGGUGCGUUGAAAAGCGUGCUGGAGGUAUCGGAAGUGCGAAUGCUGACAUGAGUAGCGAUAAAGGGGGUGAAAGGCCCCCUCGCCGUAAGCCCAAGGUUUCCUACGCAACGUUCAUCGGCGUAGGGUGAGUCGGCCCCUAAGGCGAGGCAGAAAUGCGUAGCUGAUGGGAAGCAGGUCAAUAUUCCUGCACCAUUGUUAGAUGCGAUGGGGGGACGGAUCGCGGAAGGUUGUCCGGGUGUUGGAAGUCCCGGUCGCUGCAUUGGAGAAGGCGCUUAGGCAAAUCCGGGCGCAGGAUUCAAGGGUGUGGCGCGAGCGCUCUAGGGCGCGAAGCAAUUGGAAGUGGUUCCAAGAAAAGCCUCUAAGCUUCAGUCUAACGAUGACCGUACCGCAAACCGACACAGGUGGGCGAGAUGAGUAUUCUAAGGCGCUUGAGAGAACUCGGGAGAAGGAACUCGGCAAAUUGGUACCGUAACUUCGGGAUAAGGUACGCCCUGGUAGCUUGACUGGCCUGCGCCAGAAGGGUGAAGGGGUUGCAAUAAACUGGUGGCUGCGACUGUUUAAUAAAAACACAGCACUCUGCAAACACGAAAGUGGACGUAUAGGGUGUGACGCCUGCCCGGUGCCGGAAGAUUAAAUGAUGGGGUGCAAGCUCUUGAUUGAAGUCCCGGUAAACGGCGGCCGUAACUAUAACGGUCCUAAGGUAGCGAAAUUCCUUGUCGGGUAAGUUCCGACCUGCACGAAUGGCGUAACGAUGGCCACACUGUCUCCUCCCGAGACUCAGCGAAGUUGAAGUGUUUGUGAUGAUGCAAUCUACCCGCGGCUAGACGGAAAGACCCCAUGAACCUUUACUGUAGCUUUGCAUUGGACUUUGAACCGAUCUGUGUAGGAUAGGUGGGAGGCUAUGAAACCGGAACGCUAGUUUCGGUGGAGCCGUCCUUGAAAUACCACCCUGGUUUGUUUGAGGUUCUAACCUUGGCCCGUGAUCCGGGUCGGGGACAGUGCAUGGUAGGCAGUUUGACUGGGGCGGUCUCCUCCCAAAGCGUAACGGAGGAGUACGAAGGUACGCUAGGUACGGUCGGAAAUCGUGCUGAUAGUGCAAUGGCAUAAGCGUGCUUAACUGCGAGACCGACAAGUCGAGCAGGUGCGAAAGCAGGUCAUAGUGAUCCGGUGGUUCUGUAUGGAAGGGCCAUCGCUCAACGGAUAAAAGGUACUCUGGGGAUAACAGGCUGAUACCGCCCAAGAGUUCAUAUCGACGGCGGUGUUUGGCACCUCGAUGUCGGCUCAUCUCAUCCUGGGGCUGUAGCCGGUCCCAAGGGUAUGGCUGUUCGCCAUUUAAAGAGGUACGUGAGCUGGGUUUAAAACGUCGUGAGACAGUUUGGUCCCUAUCUGCCGUGGGCGUUGGAAGUUUGAAGGGGGCUGCUCCUAGUACGAGAGGACCGGAGUGGACGAACCUCUGGUGUACCGGUUGUGACGCCAGUCGCAUCGCCGGGUAGCUAUGUUCGGAAGAGAUAACCGCUGAAAGCAUCUAAGCGGGAAACUCGCCUUAAGAUGAGACUUCCCCGGGGACUUGAUCCCCUUGAAGGGUCGUUCGAGACCAGGACGUUGAUAGGUCGGGUGUGUAAGCGCAGUAAUGCGUUCAGCUAACCGAUACUAAUUGCCCGUACGGCUUGAUCC